This 406-nucleotide unclassified non-coding RNA is filed under the name soil metagenome. RNAcentral describes it as "partial contains 5.8S ribosomal RNA, internal transcribed spacer 2, and large subunit ribosomal RNA". The stretch from base 1 to 121 matches the Rfam family "5.8S ribosomal RNA", at positions 35 to 154 of the family's 154-position model. The record is from RNAcentral.
GAUGAAGAACGCAGCGAAAUGCGAUAAGUAGUGUGAAUUGCAGAAUUCAGUGAAUCAUCGAAUCUUUGAACGCACCUUGCGCCCUUUGGCUAUUCCGAAGGGCAUGCCUGUUUGAGUAUCAUGAACACCUCAACUCUCAUGGUUUUUCCAUGAUGGGCUUGGACUUUGGGGGUCUUGCCGGCCUAUGGUCAGCUCCUCUUAAACGAAUCAGCUUGCCAGUGUUUGGUGUGGCAUCACAGGUGUGAUAACUAUCUACGCUUGUGGUUUUCCAUCAAGUAACCUUCAGUGAUGGAGGUUCGCUGGGGCUCAUAAAGGCCUCUCCUCGGUGAGGAUGGCUCCUUUGAACGUUUGAUCUCAAAUCAGGUAGGACUACCCGCUGAACUUAAGCAUAUCAAUAAGCGGAGGA